CUGUGAGGAUCAAAUGAGAUGAGGCACGGGAAAACACUUCACAGACAUUUGGUUAAGGUCCAUAGGCUUCUCCAGAUGCCCAGAGGAGUUCACAAUGUUAAAAAACAACAAUUCUGCUCUAAAGAAAGUAGUCAACAACUGGGAUGCGAAGCUCUCCUCAGGGCAUGCUAAAAGAUGAGGAAACCGAGACUCAAAGAGGAUGUUAUUUAUUUUUCACUGUUAAGCAACAUAGUGGGGAUUCAAACCCAUGUCUGUCAGACUCCAAAGCCCCUGUGUUCUAUUGUGCCCUGUGAAGUUAAUUAAAGGUGCCUUGGGAAUAUGGCCUGGAAGAGCUGAUGAUUGAUCAAAUAUGUGACUCAGGAAGACCUUUCCAUACCAUCCACCAGGAUUAGAUGGUUUGGAAAGAAAUUACUACUUUUGCUGCUUUUGCUGUGGGGUUAUAGAGCGAUACAGGGAGCAUCUUCAUGAAUGUGAAAUACACACCGGCAUUUGGAAAACUCCAUUCGUCACUAUUGUCCAGCAGAGAGUUAAAAGUAGGAAGCAGGAGAUGAAAGAAUACAGAAGUAGGAAGUUCUGUAUGAGCUCAUGCUGAAACGAAAAGAACCAUUAUUGGAAACCAUUAAUGAUGAACUUGGUAAGGAUAGUCUUGUGAUCUGUAAGUCUCAUGAAAUGAAAAUGAGGUAAUGUUAUGUUUUAUAACUACCGUGGAUCCGAGAAGCUGGAAAUUAUCUCAGCAUGAAUACCAUAAAGGAUCAGGGAACAAUGGAAGCCACCAAGAAAAGAAUCUUUAUUCAGCUUCAUUUAUAGCAGAUAUUCAUCUUAUGUUUCAACACAGGAAUCACAAAGGAGUUUGUUUUACCUUGUUGGGUAUGUAAAAAUACGAAGGUUAUCACAAUCCUCAUGCUUCCUUCCAUAGAGCCAAGGAAGGAAAAGAGAGUGCUAUGAAGUGGGGGUUGAAUAGCUGGGGCUGAAAGAGGUGACAGGAGGAAAGAGAGAAUAGGGGGAGAAGAAAAGAACUAAGAGAUUCUUCCCACCCUCGUUCAACCUCCAUUCUCUAGACCUGAGCUGUCUAAUAUGGCAGCCACUAGCUCUACAUGACUAUUUACAUUUAUUAUGAGUAAAUAAAAUAAAAUAAAAAAAUCUACUUUCUCCUAUUGCACUAACCACAUUUCAAGUGUUUAAUGGGCACAUGAAGUUAGUGGCUACCAUUUUGGAUGGUCAUCAUCACAGAAAAUUCUAUUGGACAGCACUGAGAACCAUCCAAUUCCACUUAUAAGUCCCAGAGGAUUCAGAGUGCAGGACAAAUGGAAGCCUAUGGCUGUAAUAUCCUUGGCCCCUGGAAAGACAGAAGAGUAGAGUCUUCUGAAAUGGGACAUAAGAGUCCCAGGUUCUCAUAUAACCUUAUAUGAGCUACUUGUGCUCUCUAGGACUCAGUCUAAUAUGAAUGCUUGAUACCACCUUUUACUGGAUAUUAGAAAAUUGCAUGAUUAAUUUUAUCUCUAUAUAAUAACAAUGUGAGUUAUUAGGCCCAUGC
Long non-coding RNA from Myotis lucifugus (little brown bat), 1534 nucleotides. RefSeq lists it as uncharacterized. The record is from RefSeq and is a predicted model, not a curated record. The transcript is spliced from 3 exons. Lineage: Eukaryota; Metazoa; Chordata; Mammalia; Chiroptera; Vespertilionidae.